GAUUCUGUAGUGAAGUGGUUAUCACGUUUGCCUAACACGCAAAAGGUUCUCAGUUCGAAACUGGGCGGAAACA
RNAcentral lists this transfer RNA (73 nucleotides) under Danionella translucida. It matches the Rfam family "tRNA". Rfam says of the family: Transfer RNA (tRNA) molecules are approximately 80 nucleotides in length. Their secondary structure includes four short double-helical elements and three loops (D, anti-codon, and T loops). RNAcentral also lists the same sequence under 1 other name. Lineage: Eukaryota; Metazoa; Chordata; Actinopteri; Cypriniformes; Danionidae. The record is from Rfam by way of RNAcentral.